AACGAACGCUGGCGGCGUGCCUAACACAUGCAAGUCGUGCGAGAAAGUUCCUUCGGGAGCGAGUAAAGCGGCGCACGGGUGAGUAACACGUAGGUAACCUGCCCCCCAGUCUGGAACAACUAGAGGAAACUACUAGCUAAUGCCGGAUGAGACCACGAUCCCUUCGGGGUUGGCGGCCAAAGAAUGGCCUCUACUUGUAAGCUAUCGCUGAGGGAUGGGCCGUGCGGGCCAUUAGCUUGUUGGUGAGGUAACGGCUCACCAAGGCUGUGAUGGCUAGCUGGUCUGAGAGGAUGACCAGCCACACUGGGACUGAGACACGGCCCAGACUCCUACGGGAGGCAGCAGU
RNAcentral lists this ribosomal RNA (346 nucleotides) under uncultured bacterium. Its description in RNAcentral is "bacterial SSU rRNA". It matches the Rfam family "Bacterial small subunit ribosomal RNA", at positions 29 to 355 of the family's 1533-position model. The record is from RNAcentral.